RNAcentral lists this ribosomal RNA (484 nucleotides) under uncultured bacterium. Its description in RNAcentral is "partial 16S ribosomal RNA". It matches the Rfam family "Bacterial small subunit ribosomal RNA", at positions 30 to 507 of the family's 1533-position model. The record is from RNAcentral.
AUUGAACGCUGGCGGCAGGCCUAACACAUGCAAGUCGAGCGGAUGAAGGGAGCUUGCUCCUGGCUUCAGCGGCGGACGGGUGAGUAAUGCAUAGGAAUCUGCCUGGUAGUGGGGGAUAACGUCCGGAAACGGGCGCUAAUACCGCAUACGUCCUGAGGGAGAAAGUGGUGGAUCUUCGGACCUCACGCUAUCAGCUGAGCCUAGGUCGGAUUAGCUAGUUGGUUGGGUAAAGGCCUACCAAGGCGACGAUCCGUAACUGGUCUGAGAGGAUGAUCAGUCACACUGGAACUGAGACACGGUCCAGACUCCUACGGGAGGCAGCAGUGGGGAAUAUUGGACAAUGGGCGAAAGCCUGAUCCAGCCAUGCCGCGUGUGUGAAGAAGGUCUUCGGAUUGUAAAGCACUUUAAGUUGGGAGGAAGGGCAGUAAGUUAAUACCUGGCUGUUUUGACGUUACCAACAGAAUAAGCACCGGCUAACUUCGUG